This 27-nucleotide non-coding RNA is filed under the name Mus musculus (house mouse). Lineage: Eukaryota; Metazoa; Chordata; Mammalia; Rodentia; Muridae. The record is from RNAcentral.
UAGCAGGAUGUUUUGGAUUCAGGUCUC